This is a long non-coding RNA of Solanum stenotomum, 1008 nucleotides long. RefSeq lists it as uncharacterized. The transcript has 3 exons. NCBI's taxonomy places the organism in Eukaryota, Viridiplantae, Streptophyta, Magnoliopsida, Solanales, Solanaceae. The record is from RefSeq and is a predicted model, not a curated record.
GGUCAUGCUAGAAGCUUGCUGAGGCAUUCCAAGUCAAAAUCCAUCGGCGCCAAUUUCAUUAGGUAAACUUUCAUUUAGAAUGUUGUAACAAGUUUUUCUUUGCACUCCUUUUUUUCUCAUGACAUAAUUUUACUGUUUAACAUGGUUGGUUAUGUACGACAGAUGAACCACUUUGCACUCCGUUGUUUUGUUGAAGAAUAAAAUCUUCAGUAUUUGGUAAAGACUACAUAAUCUCUGAACAUUUUACUCUUCAUAACGGGGAUAGCAACAACUAUUAAGUAAUAAUAAUUGAGUUCACAGUCGCUCAUUUGCCCAAGUGAAACUAUUCUUUUAUGUACAGGUAUGUUUUGAUAAAAUAUCUGCUCAGGUACUUUGGUCAAGGUAGUAAAGGGUAUCCGUGGAUCGAGCCAUCAAAUUGAUCUAUUGAUGAGCUAUUCAUAAGAUGAAGCUAGAAGGUUAUUGUGAUACAAAGACAAGAUGUAUGUCCACUACUAACUGCACCUUAAAGACUUAAAAGCUAUGCGGGGAAGUAUGAGAAUUCAUAGAUGCAUGACAGAUUUCAUUUUGGAUUCCGUUGAUAGUAGAUGCUUCACCAAAUUAUGUUCACAGUCUUCAAUAUUAUUAUAUUUUGAGGGGACAUACUAGAACGUAGUAGACAUUGGUGCCGCGUUGGAGACUCUGGUUGCACAAAGCUAGAAAAUUUAAGGUUAAUUGGAUCUUUGUUGCAACAAAUAACAAGUAAUGUUCAUGACACUGGAGCAAUGUGGUAGUUUGGAGUGAGUGCAACAAACAUCAUUUCAUACAUCGUGAAGUAGACAAAGCACAUGACUUAAUUACCCUGAGUCAAUUGUUCGUCAUUUUCAUCAACAACCAAAUCAUUACUUUCAUAUUCACUGAAUAUUUCAUCACUAUUUUGGUGUUCAUGUAAAAAAUUAUGUAAUACAAUACAAGCAACUACUAUAGAGGGUGAUUUUGUAAAAGAUAAAAGUUUGGUGUAAAAUUUUAAUU